RNAcentral lists this ribosomal RNA (495 nucleotides) under uncultured bacterium. RNAcentral's name for it is "partial 16S ribosomal RNA". It matches the Rfam family "Bacterial small subunit ribosomal RNA", at positions 28 to 507 of the family's 1533-position model. The record is from RNAcentral.
GACGAACGCUGGCGGCGUGCCUAAUACAUGCAAGUAGAACGCUGAAGGAGGAGCUUGCUUCUCUGAAUGAGUUGCGAACGGGUGAGUAACGCGUAGGUAACCUGCCUGGUAGCGGGGGAUAACUAUUGGAAACGAUAGCUAAUACCGCAUAAUAGUAGAUGUUGCAUGACAUUUGCUUAAAAGGUGCAAUUGCAUCACUACCAGAUGGACCUGCGUUGUAUUAGCUAGUUGGUGGGGUAACGGCUCACCAAGGCGACGAUACAUAGCCGACCUGAGAGGGGGAUCGGCCACACUGGGACUGAGACACGGCCCAGACUCCUACGGGAGGCAGCAGUAGGGAAUCUUCGGCAAUGGACGGAAGUCUGACCGAGCAACGCCGCGUGAGUGAAGAAGGUUUUCGGAUCGUAAAGCUCUGUUGUAAGAGAAGAACGAGUGUGAGAGUGGAAAGUUCACACUGUGACGGUAUCUUACCAGAAAGGGACGGCUAACUACGUG